GACGAACGCUGGCGGCGUGCUUAGCACAUGCAAGUCGAACGGAAAGGCCCUGCUUUUGUGGGGUGCUCGAGUGGCGAACGGGUGAGUAACACGUGAGUAACCUGCCCUUGACUUUGGGAUAACUUCAGGAAACUGGGGCUAAUACCGGAUAAGAGCUCCUGCUGCAUGGUGGGGGUUGGAAAGUUUCGGCGGUUGGGGAUGGACUCGCGGCUUAUCAGCUUGUUGGUGGGGUAGUGGCUUACCAAGGCUUUGACGGGUAGCCGGCCUGAGAGGGUGACCGGCCACAUUGGGACUGAGAUACGGCCCAGACUCCUACGGGAGGCAGCAGUGGGGAAUAUUGCACAAUGGGCGGAAGCCUGAUGCAGCAACGCCGCGUGCGGGAUGACGGCCUUCGGGUUGUAAACCGCUUUCGCCUGUGACGAAGCGUGAGUGACGGUAAUGGGUAAAGAAGCACCGGCUAACUACGUG
Molecule: ribosomal RNA, 468 nt
Filed under: uncultured bacterium
Lineage: Bacteria
Description: partial 16S ribosomal RNA
Rfam family: Bacterial small subunit ribosomal RNA
Source: RNAcentral